This 45-nucleotide non-coding RNA is filed under the name Schistosoma margrebowiei. Lineage: Eukaryota; Metazoa; Platyhelminthes; Trematoda; Strigeidida; Schistosomatidae. The record is from RNAcentral.
AUCCAGUUGAUGAAUCCGAAAUAGGACGAAACGUGCAUCCUGGAU